RNAcentral lists this transfer RNA (86 nucleotides) under Acidobacteriota bacterium. RNAcentral describes it as "Acidobacteria bacterium tRNA-Ser". It matches the Rfam family "tRNA". From Rfam's summary of the family: Transfer RNA (tRNA) molecules are approximately 80 nucleotides in length. Lineage: Bacteria; Pseudomonadati; Acidobacteriota. The record is from RNAcentral. RNAcentral also lists the same sequence under 1 other name.
GGAGGGGUGGCCGAGUGGUUGAAGGCAGUGGUCUUGAAAACCACCGUGCGCAAGCACCGCAGGUUCGAAUCCUGUCCCCUCCGCCA